GCAUUCUGCCCAGCUGGAUUCAAAAUCCCAGGGGAGGAGAGGUCAGGGAAGCCUUCCUGGAGGAGGAGGCAUUUGACAUAGGUCUCCAGUGAUGGACAAGGUGUCAGUCACAGGGCUCCUUGGUCCUGUUUCCACAAGUGGAGAAUUGAAUGAUGGUUCCCGUCUCCUCCAGGCUCUUCCUGAUCCUCUGCUCAGCUGAACCUUCUCCGAGAGGCUGCACCACCUUCCUCCACCCCCAACCCAAGACCUUGGACCAGCUCCUCCAUCUCUGAGACCCCAACUUUUCUCUACCUCUGCCUCUUUCAUGAGGUGCCCCCUGCCAAGACUCAGU
Long non-coding RNA from Manis pentadactyla (Chinese pangolin), 331 nucleotides. RefSeq lists it as uncharacterized. Lineage: Eukaryota; Metazoa; Chordata; Mammalia; Pholidota; Manidae. The transcript has 3 exons. The record is from RefSeq and is a predicted model, not a curated record.